Molecule: ribosomal RNA, 450 nt
Filed under: uncultured bacterium
Lineage: Bacteria
Description: partial 16S ribosomal RNA
Rfam family: Bacterial small subunit ribosomal RNA
Source: RNAcentral
GUGGGGAAUAUUGGACAAUGGGCGAAAGCCUGAUCCAGCCAUGCCGCGUGUGUGAAGAAGGUCUUCGGAUUGUAAAGCACUUUAAGUUGGGAGGAAGGGUAGUAACCUAAUACGUUGCUACUUUGACGUUACCGACAGAAUAAGCACCGGCUAACUUCGUGCCAGCAGCCGCGGUAAUACGAAGGGUGCAAGCGUUAAUCGGAAUUACCGGGCGUAAAGCGCGCGUAGGUGGUUCAGUAAGUUGGAAGUGAAAUCCCCGGGCUCAACCUGGGAACUGCUUUCAAAUCUGCUGAGCUAGAGUACGGUAGAGGGUGGUGGAAUUUCCUGUGUAGCGGUGAAAUGCGUAGAUAUAGGAAGGAACACCAGUGGCGAAGGCGACCACCUGGACUGAUACUGACACUGAGGUGCGAAAGCGUGGGGAGCAAACAGGAUUAGAUACCCCUGUAGUCC